This 552-nucleotide ribosomal RNA is filed under the name uncultured Erwinia sp. RNAcentral's name for it is "bacterial SSU rRNA". It matches the Rfam family "Bacterial small subunit ribosomal RNA", at positions 1 to 571 of the family's 1533-position model. The record is from RNAcentral. Lineage: Bacteria; Pseudomonadati; Pseudomonadota; Gammaproteobacteria; Enterobacterales; Erwiniaceae.
CGCCCUUAGAGUUUGAUCAUGGCUCAGAUUGAACGCUGGCGGCAGGCCUAACACAUGCAAGUCGAACGGUAAGAGAGCUUGCUCUUGACGAGUGGCGGACGGGUGAGCAAUGUCUGGGAAACUGCCCGAUGGAGGGGGAUAACUACUGGAAACGGUAGCUAAUACCGCAUAACGUCUUCGGACCAAAGUGGUUAGUCACACCAUCGGAUGUGCCCAGAUGGGAUUAGCUAGUAGGUGGGGUAAAGGCUCACCUAGGCGACGAUCUCUAGCUGGUCUGAGAGGAUGACCAGCCACACUGGAACUGAGACACGGUCCAGACUCCUACGGGAGGCAGCAGUGGGGAAUAUUGCACAAUGGGCGCAAGCCUGAUGCAGCCAUGCCGCGUGUACGAAGAAGGCCUUAGGGUUGUAAAGUACUUUCAGCGGGGAGGAAGGCGAUGCGUAAUCGCGUCGAUUGACGUUACCCGCAGAAAAAGCACCGGCUAACUCCGUGCAGCAGCCGCGGUAAUACGAGGGUGCAAGCGUUAUCGGAAUUACGGGCGUAAAGCGCACG